This 253-nucleotide ribosomal RNA is filed under the name uncultured bacterium. RNAcentral's name for it is "partial 16S ribosomal RNA". It matches the Rfam family "Bacterial small subunit ribosomal RNA", at positions 524 to 776 of the family's 1533-position model. The record is from RNAcentral.
UACGUAGGGCGCAAGCGUUGUCCGGAAUUAUUGGGCGUAAAGAGCUCGUAGGUGGUUUGUCGCGUCUGUUGUGAAAGCCCGGGGCUUAACUCCGGGUUUGCAGUGGAUACGGGCAGGCUAGAGGCAGGUAGGGGAGAACGGAAUUCCCGGUGUAGCGGUGAAAUGCUUAGAUAUGAUACAGAACACCGAUUGCGAAGGCAGAUCACUAAACCAUUAUUGACGCUGAGGCACGAAAGCGUGGGGAUCAAACAGG